AACGAACGCUGGCGGCAUGCCUAACACAUGCAAGUCGAACGAGACCUUCGGGUCUAGUGGCGCACGGGUGCGUAACGCGUGGGAACCUGCCCUUAGGUUCGGAAUAACUCCCCGAAAGGGGUGCUAAUACCGGAUAAUGUCUUCGGACCAAAGAUUUAUCGCCUUUGGAUGGGCCCGCGUUGGAUUAGCUAGUUGGUAGGGUAAAAGCCUACCAAGGCGACGAUCCAUAGCUGGUCUGAGAGGAUGAUCAGCCACACUGGGACUGAGACACGGCCCAGACUCCUACGGGAGGCAGCAGUGGGGAAUAGUGGAAAAUGGGCGAAAGCAGGAUCCAGCAAUGCCGCGUGAGUGAUGAAGGCCUUAGGGUUGUAAAGCGCUUUUACCCGGGAUGAUAAUGACAGUACCGGGAGAAUAAGCUACGGCUAACUCCGUG
Molecule: ribosomal RNA, 433 nt
Filed under: uncultured bacterium
Lineage: Bacteria
Description: partial 16S ribosomal RNA
Rfam family: Bacterial small subunit ribosomal RNA
Source: RNAcentral